Molecule: ribosomal RNA, 361 nt
Filed under: uncultured bacterium
Lineage: Bacteria
Description: bacterial SSU rRNA
Rfam family: Bacterial small subunit ribosomal RNA
Source: RNAcentral
AACGAACGCUGGCGGCAGGCCUCAAACAUGCAAGUCUAGGGGGUGCAGCAAUGCAUCACCGGCGGACGGGUGCGUAACGCGUGGGAAUAUACCUUUUGGUUCGGAACAACUGCGGGGAAACUGCAGCUAAUACCGAAUGUGCCCUAACGGGGAAAGAUUUAUCGCCAAAGGAUUAGCCCGCGUAGGAUUAGCUAGUUGGUGAGGUAAUGGCUCACCAAGGCUCCGAUCCUUAGCUGCUGAGAGGAAGAUCAGCCACACUGGGACUGAGACACGGCCCAGACUCCUACGGGAGGCAGCAGUUGGGAAUCUUGGACAAUGGGGGAAACCCUGAUCCAGCCAUGCCGCGUGAGUGAUGAAGGCC